RNAcentral lists this transfer RNA (74 nucleotides) under Daphnia pulicaria. RNAcentral describes it as "tRNA-Asn". It matches the Rfam family "tRNA". From Rfam's summary of the family: Transfer RNA (tRNA) molecules are approximately 80 nucleotides in length. Their secondary structure includes four short double-helical elements and three loops (D, anti-codon, and T loops). The record is from RNAcentral. Lineage: Eukaryota; Metazoa; Arthropoda; Branchiopoda; Diplostraca; Daphniidae.
GCCUCUGUGGCGCAAUUGGCUAGCGCGUUCGGCUGUUAUCUGGAAGGCUGGUGGUUCGAUCCCACCUAGGGGCG